GGAGGUAGUGACAAUAAAUCUCAAUACGAAGCCUUUGGUUUUGUAAUUGAAUUGAGAACAAUGUACAAUCGUUAUCGAUAAACAAUUGGAGGGCAAGUCUGGUGCCAGCAGCCGCGGUAAUUCCAGCUCCAAUAGCGUAUAUUAACGUUGUUGCAGUUAAAAAGCUCGUAGUUGAAGUUUAGAUAAUUUAUUGAAAGUGUUUGUAUUCGUACAUUCUACUUUUAUGUAAGUUAUCGACAUCCAGGUGGGUGCCAUGGUUCCGCAAGGAACUGUGGUACUAGACUGGUCAUUUACUGUGAGAAAAUUAGAGUGUUUAAAGCAGACUUUCUAAAUAGUUUGAAUAGAUUAGCAUGGAAUAAUAAGAUUGGCUUUCAUAGUCGAUUUUUUGGUUUGUUUAUGAAAGCAAGAUUAAUAGGGACAGUUGGGGGUAUUCAUAUUCAAUAGCUAGAGGUGAAAUUCUAUGAUUUAUGGAAGAUGAACAAGUGCGAAAGCA
Molecule: ribosomal RNA, 493 nt
Filed under: Blastocystis sp.
Lineage: Eukaryota; Bigyra; Opalinata; Blastocystidae
Description: SSU rRNA
Rfam family: Eukaryotic small subunit ribosomal RNA
Source: RNAcentral